RNAcentral lists this ribosomal RNA (256 nucleotides) under uncultured bacterium. RNAcentral's name for it is "partial 16S ribosomal RNA". It matches the Rfam family "Bacterial small subunit ribosomal RNA", at positions 524 to 777 of the family's 1533-position model. The record is from RNAcentral.
UACGAAGGGGGCUAGCGUUGCUCGGAAUCACUGGGCGUAAAGCGCACGUAGGCGGAUCCUUAAGUCGGGGGUGAAAUCCUGGAGCUCAACUCCAGAACUGCCUUCGAUACUGAGGAUCUCGAGUCCGGGAGAGGUGAGUGGAACUGCGAGUGUAGAGGUGAAAAUUCGUAGAUAUUCGCAAGAACACCAGUGGCGAAGGCGGCUCACUGGCCCGGUACUGACGCUGAGGUGCGAAAGCAGUGGGGAGGCAACAAGG